GGGUACGAGGCGGAGCCUCAGGGCUCGGGGAAGUUCGGGUAGACUCGGGGAGGGGCGUGGCCUCGUCAGAUGGAGGCGGAGCCCGAGCUUCGCUCAGUUACGCCACCUGGCGACUCGCUCCAGCGGGGAAGGCUAGUUAGGAAAGCUCAGGCGGACCUGAUCUCAUCCUCUGGAUGUGCUCGGGAAAUAGGGGACUAGCCCUAUGAACAAAAAGGGGCCUGAGACGCAGUGAGCAUAAGUCUGAAAACACAUCCAGCAUCAUUAGGCAUCAGAGAAAUGCACAUGAAACCACGACCCAAGAGGAGAACUACCCAAGGACAGCAAAGGCCAGUGAAGACAGGGUCCUGUGCAGCCCACCCCUGGCCCUCCGUACAACAAAACAACGCGUCCCUUCCCUCCAACACUGGCAUGACAGACAAGUGCCACCAACUCAGCCAACCUAAGCUCUUUUUUUUUUUCCUAAAUAAAACGGAACACACACCAUGUCAUUAUUAUCAAAAUUGCUAUCAUGACUCUACAGUCUUGACCCCUGGCUAGGAUCUCUUCUGACAGGUGGACCCUGAGACCAUGGGACAGUGGAAGCCGCAGGCAAGUAGGACACAUACCUUGUCUGUGCGAGCACAUCGCUGGAAGGACAUCUUCCUCAUAUCUGUGCCAUGGUUUUCAGGGAUACAACCUGCCUGGACUAAGGCGGAUACCAAGUCAUCUUCGAUGGUCCUGAACUGGGAGGACCCCAGAUUCCUCUAAAGAAAAAAGGGGAAUAACCUGUUUUCAUGAGCUCUCGAGACGGAUGCACUCCAGAAAGCCAACCAUCACUUCUGGAACCAGCUCCAACACUGUGCCUCUCAGUCUCCCCUAACCAUAGGUUCAUGGUGUUCUUGACCCCAUGAGGUCAGGCAUGUCAGCAUCCCACCAAUCCUCACAAUAAAGACUAGGUCCUAGACUCUCAGGGAAAAACCUUCCCAAGGCGGGGAAAGCAAGGCAUGCAAACACUUCAACCACACUCCCAGGCUGAGACAGCCUCUUCAUAGCCGGCUCUACCCUACCCGUCAAGUCCCAUUGCCACAGAUGAAGUCAGGAAUACUUCCCAAGCGACAUAAAAAGACCUUAACAAAAAGUGACCACAACCCUCUCUCAGCUCUGUGAGACGGGCAUCUGUCACAACUCAAGUGGGGAAACGGAGGUAAACAGGAUAUCACUGAGAAACACAGCCUUAAAAAACAAAAAACUUGCACCGUCAGAACUACUCCCCAGUCACCCCAGAGGCAGUGCAGUCUGCAGUCCUCAGGAACGUCACAGCCUAGGCCACGUUAAAAGCACCGUCUAGCGGGAAGGCACCAUGAGCUCACUGUUGAAGCCUACGUGUCUCUCACUGGAGAGGGACAAAGCCCGACUGUAGCCCAGACUAUCCUUGAACUUGGCAAUCCUCCUGCAUCAGCUUCCUGGAAGCCAGGACGACAGGCUAUGCGCCACCAUCCCAGUUGGGCUACAUGACACUGCUGUCAUUCAUUCUCAAAGUCACCAUCAUGCCUGGUCAGACUCUGUUCCAGAGCCACUGUUCUGGUUAGACACCUCGCAGCAACGAACUCCACCCUGUGGCUCAAGAUUAAGGUUUAAAAAAUGGAAAAAGUGACCAGAGAGAUGGCUCGGCAUGUAGAGCACUGACGGCUCUUCUAGAAAACUGGGUUUGAUUCUCAGCACCCAGAUGGCAGCUCACAAGUGCCUGUCACUCCAGCCCCAGGGGAUGGUACACCCUCUCCUGGCCUGUGAGCAGUACAUGCACACGACUGCACAGACAAGCAGGCAGGCAAACCACCCAUAAACACCGAAAAAAAUUAAAGGUUAAAAUUUGUCUUAGAGAAAAUUACAAACUGAAACAACGGAGUUAAAGGGGUUUGCAACCCCAUAGGAAGAAUAACAAUAUUAGCCAAACAGACACACACACACACACCCCAGAGCUCCCAGGGACUAAGCCACCAACCAAGGAGUACACAUGGCUCCAGCUGCAUAUGUAGCAGAGGAUGGCCUUGUCAGGGAAGAGAGGUCCUUGGUCCUAUGAAGGCUCCAUAGAUGCCCCAGUGUAGGGGAAAUGAGGGCUGGGAAGUAGGAGUGGGUGGGUGGGUGGAGGAACACCCUCAUAGAAGCAGGGGGGGAUGGGAUAGGGGGUUUCCAGGAGGGGGAAACAGGGAAAGGGGAUAACAUUUGAAAUGUAAAUAAAAUAUCCAAUUAAAAAAAAAAAAAAAAGAGA
RNAcentral lists this long non-coding RNA (2248 nucleotides) under Mus pahari (shrew mouse). RNAcentral's name for it is "lncRNA (MGP_PahariEiJ_G0003148.1)". The record is from RNAcentral. Lineage: Eukaryota; Metazoa; Chordata; Mammalia; Rodentia; Muridae.